UAACACGUGGGUAACCUGCCUCAAAGGGGGGAAUAGCCUCCCGAAAGGGAGAUUAAUACCGCAUAAUAUGUUUUGGUCGCAUGAUCGAAACAUCAAAGGAUUUUCUUCGGAAAAUUCCACUUUGAGAUGGACCCGCGGCGCAUUAGCUAGUUGGUGAGGUAACGGCCCACCAAGGCAACGAUGCGUAGCCGACCUGAGAGGGUGAUCGGCCACAUUGGAACUGAGACACGGUCCAG
This 236-nucleotide ribosomal RNA is filed under the name uncultured bacterium. Its description in RNAcentral is "partial 16S ribosomal RNA". It matches the Rfam family "Bacterial small subunit ribosomal RNA", at positions 111 to 334 of the family's 1533-position model. The record is from RNAcentral.